Peromyscus eremicus (cactus mouse) is the source of this 791-nucleotide long non-coding RNA. RefSeq lists it as uncharacterized. The transcript is spliced from 6 exons. NCBI's taxonomy places the organism in Eukaryota, Metazoa, Chordata, Mammalia, Rodentia, Cricetidae. The record is from RefSeq and is a predicted model, not a curated record.
AUGUCCUGUACCAUUUUUCUUCUUAAGAAACAUUAUAUCAUUUUUAGCCUCACAUUCCAGCCUUUGUUAGCCUUCAUAAGUCUUGCUUCAUUCAGCAGAGUAACCAUUCCGGGUGAGCUGCAUAACUUUUGUCUGGUCUUCAGCCUGUUUGCAAGAUAGAUAUUCAACUCCUUAGAAUUACGAAUUGAAAUUCAAAUUUUAAAAAUAGUUGCUUUGUGAUGACAGAGUCUUCCUUCUACAGUGUCAGCACCUAUGCACAGAAUGGGAAGUUCCCUAAAUAUGAAUUUCAAAACAGAAUCUGUUCCUAACACUGUGGUGAAAGUGAAAUGGAGAGAUGGAAACAGAGACUGAGGAAAGAGAAUUUUAAGCUUGAAUGGCUCAUUUUUACUACGGUCACAGUUAAUGGCUACAUACAGCGGUCUCCUCUGAGAUUGAAACAUUCCACCUCCAAGAGAUGACUGCUGAGGGUCACUCUCAGAUAAGUCAAGCUUCAAAGAAGACUCUCAGAUAGACAGCUGCAAAGAAGAACAUGAGACUAGUCUGGCUGUUUGGAAGGAGAAACCAGCUGAGCUGCCUGGAAGAGGUUUAGACCAGAGUCACUUGGAAAGGAAGCUCUGUUGAGCUUUCUGAAGGCUGUGCAUUGUGCUCCAGGUUCCCAGCUUUUGUGAGCUGUCAUCUGUGCUGGGACAGGUUUGGUGAUGCAACUGUCUUUGAGUAUUUCUGCUUCUGUAGGUAACCCCUAACCGACAUUCCUGUAAGUUCUCUCAAUAAAAGUUAAGGGUCACAAAAUU